RNAcentral lists this ribosomal RNA (492 nucleotides) under uncultured bacterium. RNAcentral describes it as "partial 16S ribosomal RNA". It matches the Rfam family "Bacterial small subunit ribosomal RNA", at positions 29 to 507 of the family's 1533-position model. The record is from RNAcentral.
AGUGAACGCUGGCGGUAGGCCUAACACAUGCAAGUCGAACGGCAGCACAGUAAGAGCUUGCUCUUACGGGUGGCGAGUGGCGGACGGGUGAGGAAUACAUCGGAAUCUACUUUUUCGUGGGGGAUAACGUAGGGAAACUUACGCUAAUACCGCAUACGACCUACGGGUGAAAGCAGGGGAUCUUCGGACCUUGCGCGAUUGAAUGAGCCGAUGUCGGAUUAGCUAGUUGGCGGGGUAAAGGCCCACCAAGGCGACGAUCCGUAGCUGGUCUGAGAGGAUGAUCAGCAACACUGGAACUGAGACACGGUCCAGACUCCUACGGGAGGCAGCAGUGGGGAAUAUUGGACAAUGGGCGAAAGCCUGAUCCAGCCAUACCGCGUGGGUGAAGAAGGCCUUCGGGUUGUAAAGCCCUUUUGUUGGGAAAGAAAAGCAGCAGGUUAAUACCCCGCCGUUCUGACGGUACCCAAAGAAUAAGCACCGGCUAACUUCGUG